AGAGUUUGAUCCUGGCUCAGGACGAACGCUGGCGGCGUGCUUAACACAUGCAAGUCGAGCGGUAAGGCCCUUCGGGGUACACGAGCGGCGAACGGGUGAGUAACACGUGGGUAAUCUGCCCUGCACUCUGGGAUAAGCCCGGGAAACUGGGUCUAAUACCGGAUACGACUACACGAGGCAUCUUGUGUGGUGGAAAGUUC
This 200-nucleotide ribosomal RNA is filed under the name uncultured bacterium. Its description in RNAcentral is "partial 16S ribosomal RNA". It matches the Rfam family "Bacterial small subunit ribosomal RNA", at positions 8 to 210 of the family's 1533-position model. The record is from RNAcentral.